GGCGGCGGCUCUAGAGAAAAAGAUGGGUUUAGGGUUAGGUAUUUUUUGUAUUUUUUUUUUGAUGUUGUCAAAAUUCCCCCCCCUCUUUUGUUUGAGUUGUGGACC
This 105-nucleotide microRNA precursor is filed under the name Populus trichocarpa (black cottonwood). Its description in RNAcentral is "miR6432 stem-loop (ptc-MIR6432)". The record is from miRBase by way of RNAcentral. Lineage: Eukaryota; Viridiplantae; Streptophyta; Magnoliopsida; Malpighiales; Salicaceae.